CGCCGCGCACCCCCGCGUGCACCCGCGCACACACGCGCCCGCUCUUCAGCUCUGUGUUAUCUCAAAUAAUUACCCUGCGCUUCUGGCUGUCCCCAGUGACUUCUGCUGCUAAAAAAGCUACUCAUUGUCGCCUCUCAAAGCCAACCUUGAUCACAGGGAGCUGAGCUCUUCACAGGCACAGCCUUUGGCACAUGCUGGUCUGUGAGCAUACACGUGGUCCUGUUGACGGCAGAGUGGUUUAACACCUCACGCAACUGAACCUUUAACUCAGGAACGUGAGUUCUCAAUUGAGCUUGUGCUUUAGAAGAGCCCUGACAAGUAAAUCUGUGCGGUGUUGUCCUAAUUUGAAGAGUAAUGAGUUUUGAGUGACCAUGAUCUUACCCUGUGUAUGACAAGGAAGGAAGCAACAUUCUCACUUUCUCAUAGGACCCUCCUACUACACCAGGAAACUGCAAAAAGCAAACACCAACUUGUCUCGUUAUGAGCAUUAAGGAUCCCUGUGGAAGGAUCUCAUGCUAAAAAGCAUAAUGCAGCUCCCUUUCAAGGUGUGCUUAACAUCAGCUUCUCACUCAGGACAGGCACAUGUCUGUACUUGUCAGAAGACCAGGCACAGAAGCUGUUAAUAAGGUACCUCUCAUCCUCAAAUACAUACAGAAGAGGAAUGUGACACCUUGACUGGGCACUGCACUCCCACAGCUUCCUCGUGUCCAUCUUCACAGGCAAAUUAAGAUCCAUGAGAAGAGAAAGUGAAAAAUAACUUCACAGAAACAAAAAAUACCGCAUAAAAGCCAGUGGGCAUCCUGUAUUCCAUUGUAAAAUGGCAACACAUUUCAGGAAUACAAAGGUGAAACAAGCUGUGAUCCAGUGCCAGCAUUUUACCACUGCACACCAAGGUGGCAAUCGAGGAAUAAAAACCAUCUGGGACUGGGAUGCAGAUAAGUGUUCAAACAUCUGUCUUCUAAUGAUAGCUCUCCAACCCUAUGGAUAGUCUCCCCUAAUAGACAACUUCGGUAAAAACCAUAUUUACCUGCAAGUCUCCACAACUCUCUAGUGAGACAUACAGUGUCCAAAUGGUUCAUACAUCCCACCAGUAUUUUAAAAGUUGAUAAUUGAUAUUCACCCCUCCAUUGAAAGGGCUAAAACUUCUCUCUUCCCCUCUCUUUCUUUCUUUUGGCUUGAAACAAGCAAAUCACUGUGAUUUUCAACAGGAGGGUGAGCUGGUGUAGACUCAAAACUGUCCUGCAGAAAUGUCCUAAAUCUAUACCCUGACAGUCCUUGCACACAAUAUGCCAUCCUUGUUUUGUGUUAUAUUGUAUUGUGCUGUAGUAUCUUCUACUCUAUAUCUCAUUGCACUAUUUUAUCUCCCUCAUUGUAUCACUGGGUGUGUGUGAACCCUUCAUAGUGCUGUACAGAAGAAUAGGACUAAUAUCUAACACAUGCUGUUGUGAUUUGGGGAAUCAAUCUCUGUACCACUAAAAUUAAUUCUGUUUUAUAGCAUGGACUGCACUGCAUCUGUUUCAGAAAGCAAGCCCCAUAUGGACUGGAGUUUCCUGGCCAUCUCUGCAGCCUCUUGUCCUCUCAUUGAUACACUAACCAUAGGAGAUGCAGGUUGCAUCCUUUUACCUGGCUACAGAGCUAACAGAGGAGCAUCACUAAAAUGGGAAAAAUCAGCCAUGCAAAUCAGCCAGAGAAAUGGCUGCCAACCAAAGCAGAGGAACUUUUCCAAGUCUGAACCCUAUCAGGCAGCAAGUUAGUAACUGUUUUUUGGAUUCAUUUGAUGAGCUGAUAAAUCUGAUAAGAGGGCACCUGAGGUGUUACACAAAUCAGGAGAGACUGAGAAUCCAUGAUCCUGAGAAGUCAGAGGCAAGAAUUUCUGUCUAGAAGAAGAAUUGUGACCUACUUAGAGGAAUCUGACUUAAGCCCCAAAUAAUGCUCUUGCUCAAGCAUGAAUUACAAGCAGCUGAAGAAAGAUGAGCUUUUGCACUUGUUCUCUAGCCAAGUUUGCCCACAUUUAAUGAGAAGUACAACUUGGUGCCAUUUUGUAUUCCUGUGCUGUGGUGCAGAUGGAGAGGCCGCUCUGAGUGUGAGUCCAGAAGCCACUCACCCACUCCUCCAGGCACUCCACACAUCCUGCCCCAUGCCUGUCCUUGCAGAGCCUGGAGCCAGAAAGCAUCAGGUUCAGGAGCAGAAGGAGCAGCAGUAGAUGUGAAAAACAGCUUCACAAAUGGGAACCAGAGCUGGCAGCAGUGCCAGAACAUCGGGCAUGGAUCAGGCUGGAGAAAAAGAAUUAACAGUCCCAUGCCCAGAAGACUGGAGAGUAAGAGAGCAGCAGUCACCCAUGGAGGGAGGGGAAAUGCUACACUGUCACACCUAAACUCAGGUACAAUAGUCUCAGUACAGUAAAAUUCCCUGGGGCAAAGUUGAUGGUGAAAAUAUAGGUCCUGGUUCACCCCCAUGCUGGGCGAUGCCUCGCUGUGUGUCAAGUCUGGGCAGAUGCUUUGUGUGUUGUGUUGUUUGGGCCAAAGUCCCACAGGAAAAAAAAGCGAGUCCAAAUUGAAAGAUGCUAUGAGUCAGUCUUCUGAUGAAAGAGAGGAACGUGAUGUUGGGGCUGGCAAACAUGAUAGUGCUGUGGGAUUAAAAGAAAAAAAAAAGAAAGAUAAAGAAAAGCCCACAGAGAAAGGGUAUGCAAAUUAUGGGAAAAAGAGCAAAAGAGGAACUUUUCUCUAGGGAUGCUACAUCUCUGCCUUCCAUUCUCCCAGAGGAUCGUGGGUAUGGCAGUGGGUGAGCUCUUCCGGUUGAAAUACAGAAGUAAGAAUGUAAAGAAUAAUAACUGAAGCACUCCAUCGGCCUCCAUCAUAGAACUGUUUUAGUUUGGUUUUGAGGCAACCUGGGAUCCUGACCUAAGCUUUUUCCCCCAGAGAUGGGAGAGCCCUGGCUAUUGCCCUGCCAGUCCGGACAGGCUGUCAGAGUAGCAGCAUGGCCCAAAAUCCACACAGGAAACUCUUGGACCCACACUGGCAUCACAGGCACUGCCCAGCACCACAGUUUGAAGUGAGGCUAAUCUGAGCUAAAGCUCAAGUUUUCACCACCUCCUAUUAUCUGGAAAGCAAAACUGAAUGCACUGCUUGGCAAUGGCAAGGGGAAAGCAGGAAUUGCAUGGAGGGCACAGAACAGGGGAAAUUACUGACAGUGCAGGAUGGCUGAACACGGCAUGGUUUUGGUUAAGAAAAGAAGUGUUUUCUACAGCAAAGGCCCCACAUUCAAAGACACCACUUUAACUUAGCCCCAGCAGCACUGGAAAUGCAAGCAGGGCAGAAGGAAAGUAGAAGAGGCGGCUGUUGUCAGAAAACAGUUCCUGGAAAAUAUUAAAGUUCUCUUGAGGCAUGUAGAAAAAUUCCAGGAUACCGUAUUAUUAUUGUUAUUAUUAUUACCCUUGAUCUUUUGGAAGGUGGGAAGGGAGCAUAUGCAGUCUUAAAGGAAGAAGACAAGACAUCUGUAGCCUUUAAAAAGAAAAGCACUAAAAAGAAGGCUUCUAGGCUCUCCUUACAACAUUUUUAAUUAUCUUCCUUAAGUUUCCCAAAUAAAAACACAUUGCAUGAAGCCUCACCCAAUAAAACUAUGUGGGUAAAUACAAUACCCAUUGUCUAAUCAAUAUCAUAUUGCUCAUGGCUUUAGCUUGUUCAAUAGCUGAGUUCACUGACUCCUGAUUUGCACCUAAGGAUGCCAAUAUCUGCUCAGUGUUGGACAAACUGCAUUUGUCAUUCCCUGUAACUGAGUUCUUUAAUCUCAUUAAUAACCCACAGAUACCAAAACACAGCUUUGGCUUUUGGCUGGAAUAUGCCAGGUUUCCAGUGUGCACUUUUAGCUCAGGGGCUAAAAGUGUUGUGCAUUAAAUAGGCUCGUUGCCCCUGCAGAGGCCACAGCCCUCCUGCCCCAUUGCUCCUCAACUUGGACACCCAUGAAUGCCAGAAAUUGCAAAAAAAACAUAAAACCCAAGAGAAGCCAUCAGAUACAGAGAGUUAGAGGUCAUGGAAGAUAAGAAACACACAGAAUUAUGUCUGUAUUAAGUGUGUCAUAGCCCCCACGCUGCGUCGCCUGCUGUGGCCUCAGCCCCAAGUGCUGGGGAGGCAGGAACAGCUCCUGCUCCCCAGGCCUCGUCCUUCUGAGCUUGCCUGCAUAUGGCAGCAAACCCCGUGCUCCAGCCCCAGAAGUAUGCAUCAAUAAAUUAUCUUCAUUGGAAACACAUUGCAAACAAAAUGCAAAUGGCAAGAAAGUGCUUGUUCUCAGAGGUCUGUCUUGAGAGUUCAUCUACCCAGAUUAUAAACACUUGAUAAGCAUCCUGGUUUUCAGGCUAACUGUCUGUACGGCAGAUCCCAGGACUAGGCUCCUGGGAUUUCAAAAUGUAUCAUGAAAUAAAAACAGCUGCAAGGGAAACUCAUAUGACUAGGAUAGGUGCCAUAUAGCAAUUAACAGCCAGAAGUUUUGAUCUGGAAAAUCACAUUUAUUUUAAUUGCUUCACUGUUGUAUUCAUAAAGAAUUUGGCUCAUUUGAUUAUUUUCCUUAUUAGAUAUACUACUUAACUUUGGAAUAAUGUAGUCAUUAGUUCCAUUGUUCCAGGUUUUUCAUUGCAGUGAAUUGAAUGACAGAGACGUGUUCUGCAAGGAAGAUUGUUUAUAAAUAUUUAUCAUAGCCUUAACAGAUAUUUGUGUAAUCCAUCCUAAUUUUUUUAGCACAUAAUUCACCAGUUAUUUAAUCUGCUGUGUGAUGAGUGCAGGUUCCUUAACCUUGAGUUCAAUAAGGCAUUUGAAGUGUGUGAUCUCUUAUCACAAGAACAGAG
Molecule: long non-coding RNA, 4837 nt
Organism: Pipra filicauda (Wire-tailed manakin)
Lineage: Eukaryota; Metazoa; Chordata; Aves; Passeriformes; Pipridae
Exons: 7
Source: RefSeq, a predicted model, not a curated record